UUGUUCUCUCUCCCCUGCCACUUGCCUCUUCCCCUGCUCUGCUGCAGGCCUGGAGAGGGUGGAGGGAGGGCCAGCGAG
Ochotona princeps (American pika) is the source of this 78-nucleotide microRNA precursor. Lineage: Eukaryota; Metazoa; Chordata; Mammalia; Lagomorpha; Ochotonidae. The record is from Ensembl.